CCUACGGGGGGCAGCAGUGGGGAAUAUUGGACAAUGGGGGCAACCCUGAUCCAGCCAUGCCGCGUGUGUGAAGAAGGCCCUCGGGUUGUAAAGCACUUUCAGUGAGGAAGAACGCCUGGUGGUUAAUACCCAUCAGGAAAGACAUCACUCACAGAAGAAGCACCGGCUAACUCCGUGCCAGCAGCCGCGGUAAUACGGAGGGUGCGAGCGUUAAUCGGAAUUACUGGGCGUAAAGCGCGCGUAGGUGGCUUGAUAAGCCGGUUGUGAAAGCCCCGGGCUCAACCUGGGAACGGCAUCCGGAACUGUCAAGCUAGAGUGCAGGAGAGGAAGGUAGAAUUCCCGGUGUAGCGGUGAAAUGCGUAGAGAUCGGGAGGAAUAGCAGUGGCGAAGGCGGCCUUCUGGACUGACACUGACACUGAGGUGCGAAAGCGUGGGUAGCAAACAGGAUUAGAUACCCUGGUAGUC
RNAcentral lists this ribosomal RNA (465 nucleotides) under Vreelandella stevensii. Its description in RNAcentral is "partial 16S ribosomal RNA". It matches the Rfam family "Bacterial small subunit ribosomal RNA", at positions 338 to 795 of the family's 1533-position model. The record is from RNAcentral. Lineage: Bacteria; Pseudomonadati; Pseudomonadota; Gammaproteobacteria; Oceanospirillales; Halomonadaceae.